RNAcentral lists this ribosomal RNA (250 nucleotides) under uncultured bacterium. RNAcentral's name for it is "partial 16S ribosomal RNA". It matches the Rfam family "Bacterial small subunit ribosomal RNA", at positions 524 to 773 of the family's 1533-position model. The record is from RNAcentral.
AACGUAGGUGGCGAGCGUUAUCCGGAUUUACUGGGCGUAAAGCGUGUGCAGGCGGACGGGCAAGUGGUGUAUGAAAGCUCCAGGCUUAACCUGGAGAGGUUAUGCCAGACUGCACGUCUUGAGGCAGAGAGAGGGACAUGGAAUUCCGGGUGUAGUGGUGAAAUGCGUAGAGAUCCGGAGGAACUCCAGAGGCGAAGGCGGUGUCCUGGCUCUGACCUGACGCUCAGACACGAAAGCAUGGGGAGCGAAC